GCCCCUCCGAGAUGGUGUGCGGAUCAGAUGGAUUGUUGGGAGGUGUUGGUCAAUGCGUGGUGCUCAAAAGAAUGGUUGGCCACCCACAAAGAGGCCAAGGACAAACGUGCCCAAAUGGAAGGUGUGCCACACCACCAAGGCAGCUCCAACUUAUUUCAGUAUAGGCGGAACUGGGCACGCUACAAUAAGGCGGAUAAGGUGCCAGAGGUGUACGACCUGUAUGCCAUGGCCCACACUGGCCCUUACAAGAAAGUCAAGGCAUUCUCUGCGUCUGACCUCGAUGAUCUAAAGAACUUCACCAACAUCUCCGCCCACGACAAGCUCGUGCAAUAUAGAGAUCAGGGGAAGGCGAGGAAAGGGGAGGACUUUAACCCGAGCCAGGGUCCCAUUGAUACAGAGCUGCUGAUGAUAUCUGGUGGCGGGAGGUCCCAUGGCUCCAUAGCCAUGGGAGAUGGACUUAUCCGUUGUCCUAGCACUCUCUUGGAGAUCAAGGCGCACCAGUCGAGCUCCGCUCCUAAGAUAAGGCCUCGUGAACGGCCAGUCCAACUUGCCUUCAAGGUUAGUUAUACGUACUCAGCUAUCUUUCUCCAUUACAUUGUGUGCGCUUCCAUCAAUGAUUACAAAUGGUCAUGUGAGUGGUGUUGCAGGCUGCUAUACAGAGUGAGAGAGAUAGAACGGAGAAACUUCUGGCGGAGGCGGCGGAGAGGCGGCGGGAGUUGGAGGAGAGGACGACAAAGAUGUUGGAGGAGGAGAGGGCAC
Molecule: ribosomal RNA, 759 nt
Filed under: Triticum aestivum (bread wheat)
Lineage: Eukaryota; Viridiplantae; Streptophyta; Magnoliopsida; Poales; Poaceae
Description: partial small subunit ribosomal RNA
Source: RNAcentral